GAUGAACGCUGGCGGCGUGCUUAACACAUGCCAGUCGAACGAUGAAGCCCAGCUUGCUGGGUGGAUUAGUGGCGAACGGGUGAGUAACACGUGAGUAACCUGCCCUUAACUCUGGGAUAAGCCUGGGAAACUGGGUCUAAUACCGGAUAGGAGCGCCUACCGCAUGGUGGGUGUUGGAAAGAUUUAUCGGUUUUGGAUGGACUCGCGGCCUAUCAGCUUGUUGGUGAGGUAAUGGCUCACCAAGGCGACGACGGGUAGCCGGCCUGAGAGGGUGACCGGCCAAACUGGGACUGAGACACGGCCCAGACUCCUACGGGAGGCAGCAGUGGGGAAUAUUGCACAAUGGGCGAAAGCCUGAUGCAGCGACGCCGCGUGAGGGAUGACGGCCUUCGGGUUGUAAACCUCUUUCAGUAGGGAAGAAGCGAAAGUGACGGUACCUGCAGAAGAAGCACCGGCUAACUACGUG
Molecule: ribosomal RNA, 466 nt
Filed under: uncultured bacterium
Lineage: Bacteria
Description: partial 16S ribosomal RNA
Rfam family: Bacterial small subunit ribosomal RNA
Source: RNAcentral